UCUUUUACUGCUCUUAUAUAUACUUUUAUAGCUUAUAUUUGCAAUUUUCAAAAAAUAGGAAAAGUUCAUACAUUUUGAGUUGUCAUUUUAGCAGCUUACUGGGUAUUCACAAUAAGUAGGGAAUAUGAUGAAAGGAAUUGAGACUGAAGGUGAACCAUAAAUGUUACACUGAUAGCUAAACUUGGCUUUCAUGCCCUUAGAUGAUAUAUUUGCAUUGUCAAAACAUAAGCAAUUACAGGAUUUCAUGGAAUUCUAAUUUUUAAAGAUGAUUUGCUGGGUCUUUCCUUAAUAAAGUAGUACUAUAAAGAUUGAUUUGUUGGACUCCAUGUAUCUUAUUUGUUAGGUCUUUCCUUAAUAAACUAGUACUAUAAAGAUUGAUUUGUUGGACUCUGUGUCUCUGAAUAGCAUAUCACUGAGAAUUAUGAUGUAGCACUAUUAUGGCAAUUUCAUUAAUACCUUCAACACCUACUUACCAGUUACUUAAAAGCUGAAAUUGCUCAGUUCAACACUCAGCAGUUGCACACAUGCUUAAAUGAACUCUUUUUUCUUGAGUUUCAAAUCAUGAUCAAUGAGACUUUCUUGUCCAAAGUGCAAUUUACAUGAUUUUGGCACAUAAAAUGUGCUUGGCUGCAUCAGUUUGCAGAGCUUCCGGACCUUCCUUAUUGCAGCAUCGAGCAUUCAAGGGACAACCGAGGCAGGCAUGGCAUACAAAGCCAUAUGUGAGGAGGUAGAAAGUGCAGAUGAAGCAGCAGCAAGACAGAAAUGAUAAAAAAGCAUUGGCAACAUUUUCAAACUGAGAAACCCAAACUCCUUUCAAUUAUUCUCCAUAGUUUCCUUCACUUAUGAAGGGUCUUCAAUUAGUUUUGGCUAGUAGCAGUUGUACCCUUCCUAUCCAUAGUAUUCCAUUACCAUUAAGAGUCAAAUCUUUAGGUGGAAUUUAUAACUGCAUACACUAAAAAAGGGGAAAGCCAAUUAAUUCACUUGCC
This 986-nucleotide long non-coding RNA is filed under the name Gossypium barbadense (sea-island cotton). RNAcentral's name for it is "long non-coding RNA (GBAR_LNC010600)". The record is from RNAcentral. Lineage: Eukaryota; Viridiplantae; Streptophyta; Magnoliopsida; Malvales; Malvaceae.